Callithrix jacchus (white-tufted-ear marmoset) is the source of this 10172-nucleotide long non-coding RNA. RefSeq lists it as uncharacterized. NCBI's taxonomy places the organism in Eukaryota, Metazoa, Chordata, Mammalia, Primates, Cebidae. The record is from RefSeq and is a predicted model, not a curated record.
CCAUCUCUCAGCUACUAUGACAUCAGACUGCUAACAGCUCAGCCUUGCCCCUGGGUGUGAACUUCCCUCAGCCAGACCAGAGCUGCCCCACUGGGGAAGUUCCAUGGGUCCCCUCCUUGUCCAAUGAAGGGAAGCCUGCAUCCAAUGACUGGUUAACACAGGGUACAAUAGACCAGCCCCCUUGCCUCAACGUGGGACCCACCCUGUGACACAGUCUGCAUUCCAAAGUCUCCUUGAGCCUAGCCAAGGUCCCCUGGGUGCCAAUGGGCACAGAAGUUGAGAGCUUUACUGACCGUCUGCGUCAAAGUGCUUCCAGAUUUCCAGAAACUGGGAUGCCGUCACCUCGGCCAGGUGCAGGUAAGGGGGCUGCUGCUGCGGGCCAGCCAUGGCGAGCCGCUCGGAGACCUCAGCCUGCACCGCUCCCGCUCCGCGCUGGCUCGACUCUGGCACUGGCGCUCGCGCUGGGGCUGCGCGCCACGGCGCCCUUAUAUAUGCUCCGGAGCCUGCGCCCGCGCCCGGCCGCCAGCAGGGGGCAGGCGAGCUCAGGGAAUCCGGCCGGGGCGCGGCGACGAGAAGGGCUUGGCCUGGACUCCUGCGGGGCCCUCACCUCUUCGCUGAGACCUCUCUGCGCCGGGCCAGGGACAGCUGGAGGCUUUUCGGUGAAAAUGAGGGAGAGGCUGCCCUUGCCUCCUUCGUCGUAGUAACAGCACUAAUAGUAAUACUAACAGCAAUUUGACAAAUAUUUAGCACUCAGGCCCCGGAGUUCACUCAAUCUCUCGCGCCUCCGCUCUCCUGAUCCUUUCAUAGCAGGAAAAGCAGGGACCACUUUUCUGAUGAGGUACUUGUGACUUAAGAUAAUUAGGUGACUUGCCCAGCAAAUUAGUUGCGGAGCUAGAAUUUGAACUCAGCACUCUUUCCACACCCCACGUGGCUCCUUCAUGGGGCCCAGUCUUGCAGAGCAGCCAAGAGUUCUCAAGGCUUUAUUUAUUUAGUGGGGAGCAGCUGGAACCAGCAGUGCCCCGGGAGGAUUCCGAUGGGAGUGGGGUGGGGCAGGGAGGCUUCCACUGUCUGUUUGCGUCCUGGUAUAUCCGUCCUCCUGGGAGCCUCCCUCUACCCCUGGUACCUGCCUCACCCUGGCCGUGGCUGGGGGGCUUUUAGACAUUUGGCCAGGGCGUGGCAGAAGUAGAUCAACCCGUACCAGGUCUUAACCACGCCCACCUAGGGAAAUCGUGGGAAUGGGCCUGCUGCAGUGGGCAGAGAACAACCUCCAACUCUGUCUUGGGGAUGUUCUGAGCUGGUCUCAGAGGACACAUCCUGAGGGGAGUAAACAGCUCCCUCCCACCCCAAGCAGGGAGCUGAGUCCCCUCCCAUUCUCUCCUUUAGUCUGGGCCCGUCGGGGUCUGUCCUGGCCUUGUGGGAAGGUAAGACACCUUUCUCACCGAGUGACAGCAUCAUCCAUCCUUUCUCUCCUCUCCUGCUACCAAGUGACUGAGACUUGAAUUGAUGCUCAUUAACAUGUGCUAAUGAGUGUUAGCUGAAGCACCUUCCAAGAGGCGAGCGAAAGGGAAGGAGAUGCACAGGUGGUCUGUUUCUGGAACGCCCAUUCCUGGAGGACCAAGGAGCCCAAGCAGGUGCCUUUGUCCUUUAUCCCCAAGUUGAGUCCUGCAGAAACAGCCACGUUUAGCAGUUACAAGUUCCUGCCCUGCAGUCAAAGAAUAUGGGCUCAAAACCCUCCUGCUGGUGGUGAGGCCUUGGGCAAAGCUGUUUAACCUCUGUGAACCUUAGUAAAAAUCAAGGUAAUUAGUCUCACAAAGUCAGUGCAAGGACCAAAAAUAAUGUAAUCAAGGGGUUAGCUAGCAAGAACCCCCGCAUUCAUAGGUAGGUAUGAUUACCAAUGCAAGGAUGUUAGGAGGAGUUUUCUUGUUGUUCUGAAAUAGUGGCACUUAGGCCUCAUCUGAAAUCACAGGUAUCAGAUACCUCGUGUGUUCCUGGCUUGCUCAGUCCACCCACCACCACCCAUCAAGACCAGGGAUUUUCAGGGGGAGAUGUCUGGGUGCAGGAGAGAGAGAGGAGCCUUGGCCUUCAGGGAGUGCAGCAUUCGUGGCUGCCCUGAAGCCACGUUUUGUUGGGGGAACCCCCAGAAACCCACUCCAGGUUGUGGGGAUGCUUGCAGUAAGGAGGGGGUGGAGAUCCCAGCUGGCUCUGGAGUGGGCUGGGGUGAGCAGUAUUCUGGAGUUUGGGCCAAACCUGAAGAUGGACCGGCACUUGGUUCCGCCUAUGAAAGCAGCCUAGACUGCCCUGUCCUGUGUCUACAAGAAAGAUGGGUGCCACCACGGUUUUCUGCAGCCCUUGGGGGUUGCUGUGGCUCCUGAGAAAGGUGUAUCUAGUUUACAGGGGGAGCCAAAGCCAGAUACUUUCUGGUGUCUGUGACAUCCUUGGUUUUUAGGAAGCUAGAGCGGCGCUGAAGACUGCUCCAGAAAACCCUUACUCCACUAUGCACAGGCCCUCAAACUCCUCAGAGACCAGCAGCAGGAGCCAGAGCCUGGGAUGCUCCUACAACCCGAAGGGGACCAGAUAGGUAGGAGGACCCCUCAUCUCUCCUUGCAGCUCCCUCUGCCCUACCAGAAGGGGAUGUCUCGGAGCCAGCCACCCCUUCUUUCCAGACUCAGCCUCAGAACAAGCCCCUUGUCCAGUUGGCAAUGGGAAAGAAGAGCUUUGAAUUGGAAAAGAGACUGGAGUUCUAGCUGGACUGGUCCAAGUUUCAGAAACUGAACAUGUGAGGAGAAACAUGGACUCAGAUGUCUGGGAUUCUGCUUCCCUGCCAGGACUUCUCCUCGAGUUUUGUUAUGAUGAUGUUGACGAUGAUGGCGAGAACCAUGAGGAUGCCUUUAAAUGCCUUUACAACUACCCUAUCAGCCCACCAACUCAUCCUGAGUGCUGUGAUCUGACAACAAGACUGGCAAGGAGACUCGCCCAACUGUCCCUCUGCCCCAGGACCCUAGAACCACUCCCUCAAGAAGGGAGGGAGACCUGGUGACUGUGAAGCGGUGAGAUGUCAGAGGACAGAUGACAAACAACUUUCCAGCCAGGAUCCACUGGGCUUCGGUAAUUGGCAGAGCUCCUCAGAGCACCUGGUGUUAUUUUGCAGCACUUCAAAAGAAACAGUGAGAAGGCGGACCGGUUCCCCCCUAUGCCUAGAAAUGUUUCUUCCAGAUAUUGCUUCUUUGGUUUUUAUAAUGGUCAGGCCUGGGUACCGGAGUGCUGGAGAGCUGGCCUUGCUUCCCAGAAAGGAGGAUGAAAGGGAUGCAGGAGCCCACAGUUUCCAUGGAAACGAACUGAGGUGAUGGAGAAAAUAGAGAAACCAGAGGAACCCAGAGGUGGAAGCAGGACUUUUGAAUAACCCAGUCUGAAGCUUGAGAUCUGUGGACUGCUCCCUCUGUGCAAAGGAUUUGGGUCACCAGGAUAGCAACAGGAGGUGACAGCAGUAGCUGAGGGCUGUUGGGUGAUUCUCCCUGGGCAGGGACACAGGGGCUGAGGGUUCAGGUUCCAGAAUUCCACAGGCCCCUUUCAGCUCCUGGAUCUGCUGUUUAUUGGCAGUUCUACCAUGUGUUGACUUUGUGACCCUGGGCAAGGUGCCUACCCUCCCUGAGCUGGGAUUUCCUCACUGGUAAAAUGGGGUAUAAUCCUAGUAACUGCCUCAGAGGCUUUUGUGAACAUUAAGAGAGGUAAUGCAUGUUAAGGAGGACACAAGGCCUGGAACAAAAUAGACAUUCAAAUGUUGUUAUCACGCGGGAGAAAACCAAGGGCAAGUGAUGGCGUGUUUAAUCCAAAUGAGUGCAACCCAUCUCCACCCUGGCCAAACCAACGGGUUCAGGGAUAGCCAAUGAAACAUCAUAUCCCAGAAUGCAAAGGAGCAACUGGGGCCCCCUCUCUAUUUGUAGACAGUCUGGUAUGAAGCUGUGAGGUCUGGAAUCGCUGCAGCUAUCUUGACACCAUGAGUGCAGAGUCUGGAGUAGGAGAAAUGGGAGAGGGCACAGAGUAGACACUGAGGAUGGAGCCAAUGUUGCAAAAGGCAGGGCAGAGAGACUGCAAGAAAUCAGGUCACAGGUGACAUCAUUUGAACUACUUGAUCAAGCUGAGCCUGAAGUACCUUUGGCUUCAGUUGAACAACUUCAGUUGCCGGAGUCCAUAUACCCUUUAGUGUUCAAGCCCAUUUAUGGUAGGUUUCCUCUCAUUUGCAACAAAAAAGGCCUGACUGAUAAUCCACAAAGAGGACAGUUGUCCUGAUGGGAGAUGGAAAGGACAACCUUUUGGAGCCAAACUUCUCCCUCCCUCUUUCUCUUAGAGCACCAGGGCCCCUCCUUCACAGACUGUGUGCGCUGUGUGUCUAUUUUCCACUCCCUCCCAGCAGGCAGCCUUACAACCUUGCCUUUCAUAGUCACCAGCCACAAUUUGUCCUCAAGACUCUCCUCUACCUUCCAUUUCCCCUAACAACCUUGCCCCUGUUUCCAUAUUCCAGGCUUCCGAGAGAAGACUCUAGUUGGUCUAGCUUAUCUGUUCAUGCCAAGCUAUUCACAUCAUCGGCUGCUUUCCUGCCUUGCGAGGUCCCCUAGGGUGGGCAGCCAUCUCUUAGUCCAAUCAGCUGUGGCUGGGGACAAGUCUCAGGAGGGCAGUGGGCAGCACAGAGAAGCCCAUUUCCCUUAGGGACAUCCGUGGGCGUGGUGGGAUUAACUGACGUCUCUAGUGUUGGGAGCUCAACACAGAAAACUCAAACAAGCCACGGAACACGUCUGCUUUAAAAUCGGGUGAAAAACAUUCUGACCAACAAAUCCAAAUAUUAAAGGGAGAAUCUGGGGGAAGGGUGUCAUCUAAAACAGGGGUUGGCAAACUUUUUUUUUUGUAAUGGGCCAGAUAAUGUCUCAACUACUCAACCCUGAUAUUGUAGUGCAAAAACAGCCAUAGAUAAUGUGUAAACAGAGGAACAUGACUCUGUUCCAGUAAUACUCCUUUUAGUAAAAAAAAAAAAAUUAAGUGGUGUGCCUAAUUUGGCCUGUGGGGCAUAGUUUACUGACCCUCAUCUGUUAAAUGAGUUCCAGCUUCUGUCUAACCCUAAUGGAACCUAUGUAGAAGGAUCAUUGUAAUGAUUCCACAAAAUAAUCCAUGUAAAUUACUUAGCACAGUGACUGGCACAGGGUCAAUGGGUGUUGGCUAUUUUUGUUCCCUUUUUUGUUGAGUGGGCUUUGAGAAUAACUGGGUUCCAGAUCCACCAAUGUGCUUGGUUAAUCUAGAAGAGUCCCUUCAUCAUCUCUGAGCGGAGCUGGAAGCUGAUCACGUCCCUUCCCAAGGUGAGAUGGGAUUUCUAAGGAAAGGAGGUGGAGGAGGAAGAGAAAGGCACAGGCAAGGAGGACAAAGGGAAAUGUAGCAGCGAGUGAGUCCAGAUCUGCAGGGCGUCCCUCCAUGUGAGUCGGGCUUGGCUCUGCCUGGGGACCUGGCAGGGAGCUCUGGGCUUGAUUUGCAAACAAAUUUGCUCUAUUUCCUGCCAGCAAAGGACUUCCAGGUGGCCAGGAAUUUGGAUUCUUUUACCAAGGAUGGGAAAAGUGUCCCUAGAGGGGCAGUGUCCCACUUCCAGGAUUCCCCAGAAUGCAGCAGGGAUGUGAGAAUGAGAUGUUCAGACAUAAGGGCUGCGUUUCAUUCACUCAUGAAUUCAUUACAAAUUUUACUCAUUCAUGCUGUGGAAAAAAUAUUGAUGAGCCAUCUACUUUGUGCCAGGCACUCUACUAGGGCCUAGGGAUUCAGUGGUUAGCAAAACAGAAAAGGUUCCUCCCUUCAGGAGUUUAAAGUCCAGUGGGGGAGACAGACAAUUGAUGAAACCACACAAUCACACAUACGUGAAAACAUAGUGACUACCAGGGAGUAACCUUAUCUAGCUUGGGUAGGAGGCCAUCCUGAGAGUGAACUAACCAGGAGGAGACGGGAGUGAGCAUUCCUGGAUUUAAACCCCAUGCACCAAAGCUCCAUGCUGGCAGAGCUGUAAGAAAGCCAGAGAGGAGGGAGCCCAGUGGGACUAGGAGGCAAUGGUGGAAGUGACCCUGGAGACGUUGGCAGGGCCAGACCCUGGAGCACUGGGACCUAUCAAAGGGCUCUCUGCCAGCAACAAACAUAACCAGUAUUGCCUUUUGAUGGGCUCCCUCUGGCUUCUGUGUAGGGGGUGACUAGAGAGGAGCGUAAGUGGACAUAGGGAAACCUAUCAGGUGACUCCUGUGGCUGCCCAGGAAAGAUGGCUGGGCCUCCAGAUAACUGGCCCAGAUAACUGGGCCUCCAGAAAGGGUAGUGGAUAUGGAGCAAAGUGGUCAGGAACUAUGUAGGCAGGAAAAAGGAUUUGGCCAUGAGUUGGGUAUGGACAGUGAGGGAGAGGGACAUUCCCUCCUUGGUACUGGCACCUGGGAGAAAAGCAGUUGCUGACUGAGAUGGGGGAGGCUGGCGGAGGACUGGACUUGAGAGGGAUACACCCUGUGUUUGUUGGAUGUGUUGAGUUUGAGUUGUCUUUGAAUCAGUCUUUGUAUCCCUUUAAAAUUCAGAUAUUGAAAGCCUAGUCCCUAACGUAAUGGUAUUCAGAGUGGGGUCACUGGGACGUGGUUAGAUCGUGAGGGUGGAGCCCUCAUGAAUAGGCUUAAUGCCCUUGUUCAAAAAAAGGAAGAGACAUAGGAUCUCUUUCUGUACUUUCUGCCAUAUGAGGAUACCAGAAACGGUCAUCUGCAAACUACGAAGUGGGUAUUCACCAGACACUGCCUUGCUGACACCUUCAACUUGGACUUCCCGGCCUCCAAAAUUGGGGGGAAAUUGUGUUUGAGCCACCCAGUCUAUGGUGCAUUUGUUAUAGAAGUCUGAGCUGACUGCAACAUCGUCUAAGGGAAUGCAUGAACCAGGCAGGGUAUUUAUGGACCCAGAGUUUGGAGGCGAGGUCUGGGCUAGAAAGGUGCAUUUGGGAAUCCCUGGGUAUGGAAACUGCACUGGGCCCAGCCUUACACACCUGGCUGCUCUUUGCCUCGGGGUCCUCGGGUACUAUCUCCAAGCCCACUUCCCACUGCUCCCAUGCCCAGCAGCCACUGAGGGCAGAGGCAGCGGCUCCAAGGUUGAAGGUGUCCAUGGCCUUGCUCUUCACCUCCCGGAUCAUGAGUCUCACUAAAAGUGACAGUUGCCCCUCCUAAGACAGACAUGUUGGUUCGAACCAUAAAUAGGUAAGUUUAAGGUAUUUCUUCACCUCAUCUCCCGUUCCCUUGAGGAAGAUCAGAGCAAUUACAGGAAAACAAAGGAAAGAUAUUUCCUCUGCACAUCUAUCAGAGAGAAUCUGUGACCCUCUGCACCCAGUCUUGCAUGUCUCCCCGGCAAGAAUGCAGGUAGGAGAUUUUGCACAUCACUUUUCUUCCCAGCUUGCAGCACCAUUCAUGGCCCAUAUGCACUCAAGGGGUGAUUGUUGAAUGAAUGAAGGAUUGAAUGAAGGUCAGAUGAAUGGAAAAGGAUGUUUCUGUUUAUAGAAUCAAGACCCCUCUGGAAGCUCUAGAAAUGACCCCUUGCAUGUACCAGGACAGCUCAGCUCCUGGCAAGCAAGUGCCAGGCAGUGAGCCCACUUGGGCUGCCCUCCGGAGGGCAGGUGCUUGCCCUGCUGGGGGCCUUGGCACCGUCUGGUCAGGAGGAGCUGCCUGGCUCAUAGCUGUUCCCUGAGUUGCCUUCCUGAGCACGUCAGUGGGAAUCCCCUCACAGGCAGGUCGCAGGAGGGGGCAAGUGGUGAGCAGGCCAAAGCCAGAAGAAGCCGUAGUGGGGUGCUUCAUGGAGACUGCAGAUUGGCUGUCAUUGCUGAUGGUAUGAUACAAGCACCAGAAGCCUGGGACCAGCCCAGCCUGCCAGGGAGAUGAUCAAGAGGGAAGAGGAAGAAUGGGAGUGGAAGGGAGGAAAGAGAAAGGCAUGUGAUUUUCGAGGCAUUGCAGAGCCAGUCCAUGAUACCUGGGCCUCCUGGGUCUCCUGCUUAUAGUAGAUGCUAAUGGCACCUGCCAAGAUCCCCUCUGACAAUCGUGCACAAUUCUCCAGCUGCUGUGAGUGUUGGGUGCUGAGGCUCAGACCUGGACCAGUCUCCAGAGAAUUGUCACCUUGCACAGAGGUGCCCUUCCUACCCCAACCUUGGGACAUAGCCAGUGACUGAGAGAUAAGAGGUAUGGAGGCUUGGUGCCUUGCCUUGAGGUGGGAAAACCCUGCAGUACCAUUCAUGCCCCAGAGCUCCCGUGGGAUCAGGCUGGGGCCAGACUUCAGCAGAACCUGCACCUCCACUUCUUCCUUGCCCAACCUUCUCCUCUGGCUCUUUCCAUGCUUUAGAGCCCUUCUAUGAUAACACACCCGCACAAGACUUUUCCAGCAGACCAAAGACGUGCUCUCAGGCUAAAAUUUGUCUCUCACCACUUGUUGAAGCCCCAACCCUUCAUCUAGGACCCAAGUUUCUGAAGCUUCCAGAAAUACGUGCAUUUUCACAUACAGGCAGGUACCCCCACGUCUCUCCGUAAAAGUGGCGUGCCAACAAAGCGUUCUCACGCCACCCUUUAUCUGCUGUAUGAACUUGAACCAAGACUUUGACUUCUCAGAGUUUCUAUUUCUGCAUCCAAAGACCUGGAAUCCUAAUACAAUCUUGCAGAGUGGCUGUGAGAUAGGGAGAGGCAGGGGUGCCUGGUGACAAAGAACCUGGCUUUAGAGUCACACAGACCUGCCCAGCUCUGUGACCUUGGAUGUUGUAAGUUUCUCUGGCCUCCGUUUUCUCAUCCAUGAAAUGAAGUUAAUAAUAGCACUGAAGCCGUAGGUGCCUGAGUGCACUAGUUGCAUGCAAAGCACUUCACACGGAGCCUGGCCCACUUAGUGAAAUACGAGCCAGAGAGCUUAGCUCUCGCCCAGCACACACUAAGUACUCAGUAAGAAGUGAGUAUUGUUAUUUUUAUUAAUGGGAAUUAUAUGUGUCAAGUCAGCUGGUAAAAAUGACAAUACAUACCCUUGGGAUUCAUGAGAGGUGCCUGAAGAGUGUCCCAGAAGUGUGGCAGAAGGACCAGAUGAGGUGUGAUGCAUAGGUGUGGGCUGGGGAGUGGCAGGCAGACGGAGCCCACUUGGGCUUGCUUCUCAGUCAAACUGGCGUGAACCCUAUGGCUACUGUUCUCCAGCAGCCCGCUGCCAGCCGCUUACCUGCUUGCCAGCCAUUUGUCACCCUGUCAUUGCCUCCACACUUGAAAGCAGAUCCCCAGGGAUUGUUGACAAAGCACACAGAGCAAGGAGCCACUUUUUUUUCCCCUCUAGGCCUGGAGAAGGGGAGGCAAGGAUGGCACCCAGCAAAGAAAGAUCAAGGGCUUGUCCUUGGGGAGAGGGCGUCUCAGCAAGAUGAAAAAAGGGUCGGGGGCAGAUCCAGCCAUCUCCUCUGUGUGUGUGUGUAUGUGUAUGUGUGCAUGUGUGUGUAUUUCUGUGUAUGUGUACGUGUGUGUGUGUGUGUGUGUGUGGUCUGCAAGCUAAGAAUGGUUUUUGCAUUUGUAAAUGGCUGGAAAAAAUAAAAGAGGAAUAAUACUUUGUGAGCAUUUAUAUGAAAUUCAAAUUGCAGUGUCCAUAAAUAAAGCUGUUUUGGAACACAGCUGCCUUCAUUCCUUUGCUUACUGUUUCUGGCCACUUUUGUGCUACAAUGGCAGGGCUGAGUGGUUGCGUCAGACUCUAUGGCCUGCAAAGCUGACCAUGUUUACUAUCUGGUCAUUUUCGGAUGAAGUUUGCUGACUCCUGACUAAGAGCAAGAUUGGGCAGAAAGGGAAAUUACAUCCACGCUGCUGACAGUCCCCUCCCUUCCCACCCCUGCCAAAAAUUCCAUCCCUUUUCAGUAAGCUUUCUCUUCCAAUCUUUGGUAUUUUCUAGACACCUGGCUGAUGCAGAGGGAAGGAUCGAUUAAAAAACUCACACUAAGGUAUUGGUGACUUCAUGUAUUCUUCUCCCAGGAGGUUGGACUACAGGAAUAAAUCUUUCAAUGGUGGCAUUUGAGGAACUGUGGAAUGUGUCUGAUUGUGUGCGUGUGUGUGUGUGUGUGUGUGUGUGUGUGUGCACAGGUGCAAGACCCACACACACACAGAUCUGUAAUAAUAAGGGCGGAAGCUUGGAUGCUUCAG